RNAcentral lists this ribosomal RNA (264 nucleotides) under uncultured bacterium. RNAcentral's name for it is "partial 16S ribosomal RNA". It matches the Rfam family "Bacterial small subunit ribosomal RNA", at positions 90 to 354 of the family's 1533-position model. The record is from RNAcentral.
CAUGAGUGGCGGACGGGUGAGUAACGCGUGGGCAACCUGGCCUGUACAGGGGGAUAACACUUAGAAAUAGGUGCUAAUACCGCAUAACGGGAGAAGCCGCAUGGCUUUUUCCUGAAAACUCCGGUGGUACAGGAUGGGCCCGCGUCUGAUUAGCCAGUUGGCAGGGGUAAAGGCCUACCAAGGCGACGAUCAGUAGCCGGCCUGAGAGGGUGGACGGCCACAUUGGGACUGAGACACGGCCCAAACUCCUACGGAAGGCAGCAG